This 393-nucleotide ribosomal RNA is filed under the name uncultured bacterium. RNAcentral describes it as "partial 16S ribosomal RNA". It matches the Rfam family "Bacterial small subunit ribosomal RNA", at positions 523 to 918 of the family's 1533-position model. The record is from RNAcentral.
AUACGGAGGAUCCGAGCGUUAUCCGGAUUUAUUGGGUUUAAAGGGUGCGCAGGCGGGAUGUUAAGUCGGCGGUGAAAUUUUGCAGCUCAAACGCAAAAGUGCCUUCGAUAAUGGCUUUCUUGAGUGUGGGUGGAGAAGGAGGAAUUUUUGGGGUAGCGGUGAAAUGCUUAGAUAUCACGAGGAACUCCGAUUGCGCAGGCAGCUUACUAAACCACUACUGACGCUCAUGCACGAAGGCGUGGGGAUCAAACAGGAUUAGAUACCCUGGUAGUCCACGCAGUAAACGAUGAUUACUAGUUGUUUGCGAUACAAUGUAAGCGACUGAGCGAAAGCGUUAAGUAAUCCACCUGGGGAGUACGUUCGCAAGAAUGAAACUCAAAUGAAUUGGCGGGG